AGGUCUAACCAAAGGUUUCCGUAGGUGAACCUGCGGAAGGAUCCAAUUAUCGUAGGGGACGUUCGCCCUUAUCGAGAUAGAACCCUUGCCUUUAUAGUACCCUUCUGUUGCCUCGGCAAUGCGUAAUAGCACAGCCAAUGGGGCCAAAAAUAAACCUUGUAUUAUAGUCAUAGUCUGAAAAACAAACAAAAAUUAAAA
This 198-nucleotide unclassified non-coding RNA is filed under the name plant metagenome. Its description in RNAcentral is "partial contains small subunit ribosomal RNA and internal transcribed spacer 1". The record is from RNAcentral.